AUGAUGCAAUAUUAUUGGUAAAAAUGCUAUUUCUCUUUGGACUCUGUGUUGAAUCUAACAUCGUAAGAGUGUAAUCAUCAUUUUCAAUCUCAAGCGCGUGUUUGCUUCUCUUUUAUUGAAGCCCGCUGAGUAGCUUAAUUGGGAGACUUGCUCUUGGAUAAAUGUUUUGAAUAAUGAGACAGUCUAGCAGUGCUUCUGCCUAGUAAUACUUUUUUUUUAAUCACAUGUUGGAGUUGGUGCUCUGUCUCUGCACCAUGUUCAUGAGAUACUCCAGGCCUAUAUUCCUUGUUAAAAGCUAUCAGCUGCUGCUUCAGGUCUGGAAUGACCCGUGCAGGAGCACUGCCCAUCUGCAGCCUCCAAGCUUGUUGAUCUCUCUGUAGCUGCAGCUUAGCUUUUGUUCCACUUGCUGCUGAAAGCUGAUUUUUAUCUUAUUUGUGGUUGUUCACUGUGAGCUGAUGUGGUUCCCACUUUGAUUUCUGGUGCAAUGCAUCAGACUCACUGCAACUGGCAAAGAUUUUUGGGGCUCCUGCGGAACAGCUGGGGCCUGAGAAAAAUCUGGUUUGUUUGAGCCCUUUUCCCUUCUUCCACGCAGAAAUAAUCUACUCUGUUGGCUGCUGCUCUAGAUUUCUCUAAAUUGGUACCUGCCUCUUCAGGGCUGAAAAAAAGCAGCUGUAAUCCUUCAGUCCAACCUCCUCAGGCUUCCUCAUUCAGAGCCACUUCUGUAUGCAACAUCAGCUUGAGCCAAAGCAUCCUUUUAAGGAUUUUUGAUCCUAAAUAUGCUGAUCGUGGAUCAUUUCAGCCUGGAGGUGGCAGACAUCUGGCUUUGAUCUAUGACCUUUUAUUGUAGAAGCCUCUAACCAACCACAAGGCCAUAUCCAGCACCCACGAACCUCAGGUGUAAGCUGUGUGCUGAUGCAUUGAAUGGUAAAUCCAUGGUAGAUGCUAUCAGGUGGCUCUCUCCUCCAAUGCCCAUGGCCAGUCAGUACAGGCUUUGCUCUUCUUUGUGUGACAGUGGAGGCCAAAUAAUGGCCCGUUCCAUCUCUUGAUAUUUUGCAGUGUCCAUCUUUCCUUGCCCAUCAUGUACUCCCAGUGAGUACUUUCCCCUCUGUUCUCUCCUUGUCGCUUUUCCUUGUAUCCAUCUGGUUUUCUUUUAUUUUGCUGGAAUCCUGGUAAUGUGUCCAAGUCUGAAGCCUGCAGUUCAUUCCUUCUUCACGAAUGUGUUCUAACUUUACUCUAUAUAACAAAGUUAAAUAUACUGUUUCGAUUGGGUCUCUGUUCUGUAUUUGUGUAACAACUGUUUGUUCAUAUCAAAGCUUGUAUGUGAAGUGGAAGGAAAUGUUAUUCAGAUGUGGGACCAGCUCUGCACUUAAUUCUGUGGAUUAUAUAUUUCAUUAUUUUAUUGAGUUAGACACCAAAAAAGAAGCCCAAACUGAUUUUUCUUUUUCUUCAUCCAGCAAGUCUCUUUGCCAACACAUCUCUGACUCUCACCAAAUCUGAGGCCUGACAAAGCAUAAACCCACCAGGUUUUCAUGGGGCUUGCAUGUGCUUGGACUUUGCCAGUUCUUACAUAGGAAUCUUUUGGCUGUUUGGAUUAAACUUGGAAUAAGUUAAGCAAAUAAAUUAACCUGUAUAUGCCACGCAGAUGAAAUACAUUUUCCACAAGUCCAUUAGGUGAUAGCUAUGGGUCAAAUCAGCAAGAGAUAUUUGCAACCUCAUCUAGGGUCUUUCCAGCCUCUCUCCCUCCUCCAGGCUACCAGAGUUAUCCAUUGAGCUGGGAUGCUGGUGGUUUUGCAAACCCAUGGAUGCUUUGAAUAUUAAGGAUUCCUACUCUUUAUAUUCUUUUGAAAUGAAGAAAGAAAACAAAAGAUUUUCAGAUUUUAGCAUCCCUGUGUCCAUGACAGACAUUGCCAGUGGAGCAUCCUGUGUUCAGUGGCGCUUGGGAUGGAGGUUCAGCUAUUGGCCUCCUGUUAGGUGCAAUGGAGACUCAAGCAUGUUGUUUUCCUCUGUAGCUGGGAAAGAGCUCAUCCUCUCCUCCACCAAACACUGCUGAGGGCCCCACAGCUUACACAGAGAAUCCUCCAUUCAGAUGGAUGUUUUUGCAUGAAAACUUUUGCCAAAAGGAACCCCAAGCCUAUGAACCAUGGCCAUGACCCCUUCUGCUCACCUUUCACUUCCAAGAAGAGCUUGACCGCAUUCACUGCUGCUCAUGUUGUGACUGAGAACUAUUCCUCACCCUCCUCAAGCCCAGCUCCCUUUCAUCUUCUCUUGGGCUGGUUGCUCCAGGCCUUGACGCAGAGCCUUACCAAGGUCUUCGCAUCCGUCUUGAAUUGGGAAUUUAUCUGGAAAGAUCAUCCAGAUGUGACAUCAUGAGUGGUGAGCUAGUAUGUUCAUAAAUUCUAGCCCUGGACAGCGGAUUGUGCAGUGUCUGCAGUGUGAUCUAUUUCAGAUCGGACAAAAAAUCUAAGUGUGAGUGAGUGUAUUUCAAACCCAAAGUUGCAUGUGCAUUUACACAGCUUUAACCUUUUUGGGCAAACUGGAGUUAGACUCCAAGACAAUUUUAGUCAGAAGGGUCAAACUGGUUAAUCUGGUUCUAGGUGAUGGUUUGGAGGAAGAUGAGAUUGACUCUGCUUUUUGCUGUUGCAGGUGAUGCUGUGUGCUAGAAAUGUUCCAUGGAUAUAGCCUUCUUGUCUCCUUUAUAAAAAAAAACAUCGACUGGGGAAUCUUAAGUGUGUUUAGAGUCUGAGAUGAAUGACCCUCAAACUGCUUUCCUUUAGCAACCGCUCUACAAAAAUUCUGGUUUGAAAUCUCUCUGAAAUACUUUGAAGUAGUGCUAGAGCAGGAAGUUAAUUAGGGCUGCUUUGAUAUCUUACAGCAUGUUUUAACAGCUGCUUCAGAGGCUGCUCAGACAGCAAGAGCUAACGUGGUUUAGUGCGUGCUCCUGAAAGUCUGCACUGCCUCCACCAAAAUGUCUCUGUGUGCCACUGCUGAGGCUGGUUGUUUUCUUUUCUGAGAGUUUGCGUGCAUGGGGACUUGGGAAAAUAAAAUAACCAAACCUCGUUGUACUGCUGCUUUUUGUCUUUUUUAAGUAAUAAUAAUAAUAAUAAAGUUAAUGCUGCGGUGCUGCAGCCACGUUAGAAAAUCUCCCUGUUUCUCAUGUCUGUUUUCAGUUGUCAUUUUCUCAAGCUCUCCAACAGGCUAACAUUUUCCAUGGCUUGUUUGCAGUUAAAUGACUUUCUUGGAUAUUUUUAAAAUAAAAUCACAGCAAUGAA
Lagopus leucura (white-tailed ptarmigan) is the source of this 3269-nucleotide long non-coding RNA. RefSeq lists it as uncharacterized. The transcript is spliced from 2 exons. Lineage: Eukaryota; Metazoa; Chordata; Aves; Galliformes; Phasianidae. The record is from RefSeq and is a predicted model, not a curated record.